This 425-nucleotide ribosomal RNA is filed under the name uncultured bacterium. Its description in RNAcentral is "partial 16S ribosomal RNA". It matches the Rfam family "Bacterial small subunit ribosomal RNA", at positions 354 to 796 of the family's 1533-position model. The record is from RNAcentral.
GUGGGGAAUCUUAGACAAUGGGGGAAACCCUGAUCUAGCCAUGCCGCGUGAGCGAUGAAGGCCUUAGGGUUGUAAAGCUCUUUCAGCUGGGAAGAUAAUGACUGUACCAGCAGAAGAAGCCCCGGCUAACUCCGUGCCAGCAGCCGCGGUAAUACGGAGGGGGUUAGCGUUGUUCGGAAUUACUGGGCGUAAAGCGCGCGUAGGCGGAUCGGAAAGUUGGGGGUGAAAUCCCGGGGCUCAACCCCGGAAUUGCUUUCAAAACGCCCGGUCUUGAGGUCGAGAGAGGUGAGUGGAAUUCCGAGUGUAGAGGUGAAAUUCGUAGAUAUUCGGAGGAACACCAGUGGCGAAGGCGGCUCACUGGCUCGAUACUGACGCUGAGGUGCGAAAGCGUGGGGAGCAAACAGGAUUAGAUACCCUUGUAGUCC